RNAcentral lists this unclassified non-coding RNA (205 nucleotides) under uncultured fungus. RNAcentral's name for it is "sequence contains ITS1". The record is from RNAcentral. Lineage: Eukaryota; Fungi.
GUCAUUUUCAAGCUCACCAUUUAACUCUGUCAAACAUGCAAGCGUAAACAUCAAGACCGGUAAGGUCUUGAGCCAAUGUGUCAGUCCCACCAGCCUAGCCCAGACUAGACUAGCUAGCCAGAUUAGACUAGCUAGCCAGCCUAGACUAGGCCAGCGGACCAACGCGAGAUUUGUAAUGAUCCUUCCGCAGGUUCACCUACGGAAA